Vigna unguiculata (cowpea) is the source of this 1944-nucleotide long non-coding RNA. RefSeq lists it as uncharacterized. Lineage: Eukaryota; Viridiplantae; Streptophyta; Magnoliopsida; Fabales; Fabaceae. The record is from RefSeq and is a predicted model, not a curated record.
UUUACGAUCUGCCAUUUACCCUUUCUUCAAACCUCGUCUUCUAUUCUAUCAGCGAAUCUCUAAUUUUCUGUCUUCCUCUGUGUGCCUUAGUGAUUUGCAGGAAUCUGGUACCCUUUACAUGGAUCAAACUCAGAAUGUUUCAGUGGUCAAACUGUUACAUCGAGCCAAGAAUCUGUCGAUUUUGGGUAAUUUUUCCAACAAGUGGGAUUGAAUGUGGAUGCUGAGAUUGCAGUUGAAAAGGAUAAAGGAGAGUGCGAGGAGCUGAGUAAGGAGUCCUCCAAGGUGGCGGUGAGGAAUGUGAAGGAUAAAUGUUGUGAUCAGACUGCGGUGAGUGUGUCUGAAGGUGUCAGUGGAGGAACUGGAAUCAACAGUGCAUUGGGAACUCUGAGGAACAAACUGGAGCUGAAAAUGUUGAAGAAAGUUAUGGUCAACAGGAAGCCUACGACUGCAAAAGAGCUUUUGGAAACAGGUAUUCUUGAUGGAGUGACCGUGGCUACAUGAGCAGCAUUAUUACUAAGGUUGUUUUUCACAUGCCCUGGGUGAAUGAAGAAGAUUACAUAUUGGAAAAGAUAUAAUUAAGAAGUAUCUAAUUAUAAGAUUGUAAUUGAACUAUCAAUUUUAGUGUGAAAUGCUAGCAUGUAUUAUACAUAGAAAAUAAAUCCAAUUGUUAGCGGGGAAUAUUAGCAUGAGUUUAACAUGGACACUACCAUGUUAUAAUGUACUUUUACAUAUCAAAAAAAGACUAAUUGAAUAAUGUAGAAUAGAACUUAUUGUGUGUAAUUGAGUUAUGAGGAGAAAUUAAGAUUUAAUACCCUCUUUACAGAUAACACUUUGGAGGACUUGUUACCUGCAGGCAGGUAGAGUGAGACAUUUAUCAAUUUAGUCGUAUAGUAACAGAUAUAGUUAGAAAGCUAUGCUCUGGUCACUAUCUCCUUCAUGUAAGAAUUCGGGAUCUGAAGGAUAUUUCAUGAUUAUCCUUCUAGCUGGAGCUAGGUGCUCAGUUUCCAAAGGAGUUCGGAUUAAGAGGAGUAAUCAGAGAUGGCGGAAUAUUGUGUUCUAGCUGUCUAUGUAAUGGACGCAGGACAAGUUAGGAUUCUGUCUUUUCAUAGCAGUUUGUUUCUAUGGAGAGCUGUGCAGUAUAUUUUGUCUUGAAAAUGGGAAUAUUUUACUUGAUCUGUUGAGAGCAUGUAGGGGAGCUACCCUACAUAAUUUGGAGAGAUAGUUGAAAAUUUUGUUUGUUCUCCACUUGAAGAAAGAUACUUUACCUGCAAAAGCUACAAAGGAUGUUUGAUGUUCCUUUUCCUUUCUUCCUUUGUGGAAAGAGUGGGGUCCAUUUGCUGAUCUUGUGUGGAAUCAAAGAGCUCUGAAGAAAGUUCAAAUAGCUUGGUUGGCAAAAGAGUUAGGUUGUCACAAAGGAUGAGCCGUUCAAAUACUUCCAAGAAUGCCUCUGGCUGUUCCACCCCGCAAGAAAAAUUUGUUGAAGAUGAAAAAGAAGUUCGUAUCUACCUAUCUUUUGUCAAUCUUGAUGUAGUUAGGAUAAUAUGGUUGUCAGUGAACUGUUUACAGCCAAAUAAUCUUUUCCAGCUGAAUUCUAAUCAACUUCGAUUACUAGUCCCUGGAAAAAUAUCAAAUUCAAAAUAUAACAAGUCAAUAGAAGAUAACUAAGAAGUUAGUUCCCUACAUCCCUUCACUAAUACGUAUUUAUCUAGGCGUCAAUGUUCCGAUCCCAAGACAUCGUUAGAAUUAAUCAUUAUGUAUCUGAGUCUGUCACGGUUUUGUCCUUAAAAGGUGUUUUGAAUAAUGGAAGGUAUUUAAAUCGUCUUAGACCUCGACUUCUAAGCGAUGUGAGACUAUUAGAUGCUAUAGGAAGUUAGUUGUUGAUGAAAAUGGACAGCAUGAUGUAACUGAAGUAGCUUAUUAUAAUAUCUUUCAAAAUUGUAUUAA